UAAUAGUAGUAUUCCCAGAAGCACGGAUAUUUCUAGAAGCAGGACUCUGAUCAACAGUCUCUGGAGACAUGAAAAUGCAUGAGGGCUCCUCAGGUGGCUGUGGUAAUUCACACCAAUUGAUACUUGCUCGCAUAAACAUGGGGUGGUGGUGAAGACCACUGAUUUUGGUUUCUGACUCACAGACCAGAUUCUGCCGUUUGCUACCUGCACAACCCUGGGUGGAGGACUUAAUUUUAAGCUUUAUUUUUGUCACAUGAAGAGCUAUACCUGACAGAAAUUUGAGAAUACAUACUCGAUAAGGGCCUCAAUGCACCAGUCCUCCAGUGGCCACGUUCCCUGAAAGUAUUGAGUUGCUGCUUAAAUUUUCCUCUGUAGGACCAGAAAUUAAC
This 389-nucleotide long non-coding RNA is filed under the name Equus asinus (donkey). RNAcentral describes it as "lncRNA (ENSEASG00005031019.1)". The record is from RNAcentral. Lineage: Eukaryota; Metazoa; Chordata; Mammalia; Perissodactyla; Equidae.